This 595-nucleotide ribosomal RNA is filed under the name Chondracanthus canaliculatus. Its description in RNAcentral is "SSU rRNA". It matches the Rfam family "Eukaryotic small subunit ribosomal RNA", at positions 579 to 1191 of the family's 1831-position model. The record is from RNAcentral. Lineage: Eukaryota; Rhodophyta; Florideophyceae; Gigartinales; Gigartinaceae.
CGGUAAUUCCAGCUCUGUAAGCGUAUACCAAAGUUGUUGCAGUUAAAACGCUCGUAGUCGGAGGUUGGCGGGCCGUCCAGGGCGUCCUCGCGGACGGGUCUGGAUGGGCCGCCUUUGUGGCGGGGGGCCCAGUGGAGCUUCAYUGCGUCACUGUGGUCGCUCCCACCGUUUACUGUGAAAAAAUUAGAGUGUUCAAAGCAGGCGUUUGCCAUGAAUACAUUAGCAUGGAAUAAUAGAAUAGGACCUGUUUCCUGUUUUGUUGGUUUGUGAGGAUCAGGUAAUGAUUAAGAGGGACGGUUGGGGGCAUUUGUAUUCCGGCGUCAGAGGUGAAAUUCUUGGAUUGGCGGAAGACAAACGGCUGCGAAAGCGUCUGCCAAGGACGUUUUCAUUGAUCAAGAACGAAAGUAAGGGGAUCGAAGACGAUCAGAUACCGUCGUAGUCUUUACUAUAAACGAUGAGGACUGGGGAUCGGGUAGGACUGUAUUUUGGCCUACCCGGCACCCUUCGGGAAACCAAAGUGUUUGCUUUCUGGGGGGAGUAUGGUCGCAAGGCUGAAACUUAAAGGAAUUGACGGAAGGGCAUCACCGGGUGUGGA